RNAcentral lists this ribosomal RNA (492 nucleotides) under uncultured bacterium. RNAcentral's name for it is "partial 16S ribosomal RNA". It matches the Rfam family "Bacterial small subunit ribosomal RNA", at positions 29 to 507 of the family's 1533-position model. The record is from RNAcentral.
AGUGAACGCUGGCGGUAGGCCUAACACAUGCAAGUCGAACGGCAGCACAGUAAGAGCUUGCUCUUACGGGUGGCGAGUGGCGGACGGGUGAGGAAUACAUCGGAAUCUACUUUUUCGUGGGGGAUAACGUAGGGAAACUUACGCUAAUACCGCAUACGACCUACGGGUGAAAGCAGGGGAUCUUCGGACCUUGCGCGAUUGAAUGAGCCGAUGUCGGAUUAGCUAGUUGGCGGGGUAAAGGCCCACCAAGGCGACGAUCCGUAGCUGGUCUGAGAGGAUGAUCAGCCACACUGGAACUGAGACACGGUCAAGACUCCUAAGGGAGGCAGCAGUGGGGAAUAUUGGACAAUGGGCGCAAGCCUGAUCCAGCCAUACCGCGUGGGUGAAGAAGGCCUUCGGGUUGUAAAGCCCUUUUGUUGGGAAAGAAAAGCAGCAGGUUAAUACCACGCUGUUCUGACGGUACCCAAAGAAUAAGCACCGGCUAACUUCGUG